GCGGCGUGCCUAUACAUGCACGUCGAGCGAACCGACGGGAGCUUGCUCCCUUAGGUUAGCGGCGGACGGGUGAGUAACACGUGGGUAACCUGCCUGUAAGACUGGGAUAACUCCGGGAAACCGGGGCUAAUACCGGAUGCUUGAUUGAACCGCAUGGUUCAAUUAUAAAAGGUGGCUUUUAGCUACCACUUACAGAUGGACCCGCGGCGCAUUAGCUAGUUGGUGAGGUAACGGCUCACCAAGGCGACGAUGCGUAGCCGACCUGAGAGGGUGAUCGGCCACACUGGGACUGAGACACGGCCCAGACUCCUACGGGAGGCAGCAGUAGGGAAUCUUCCGCAAUGGACGAAAGUCUGACGGAGCAACGCCGCGUGAGUGAUGAAGGUUUUCGGAUCGUAAAACUCUGUUGUUAGGGAAGAACAAGUACCGUUCGAACAGGGCGGUGCCUUGACGGUACCUAACCAGAAAGCCACGGCUAACUACGUGCCAGCAGCCGCGGUAAUACGUAGGUGGCAAGCGUUGUCCGGAAUUAUUGGGCGUAAAGCGCGCGCAGGCGGUUUCUUAAGUCUGAUGUGAAAGCCCCCGGCUCAACCGGGGAGGGUCAUUGGAAACUGGGGAACUUGAGUGCAGAAGAGGAGAGUGGAAUUCCACGUGUAGCGGUGAAAUGCGUAGAGAUGUGGAGGAACACCAGUGGCGAAGGCGACUCUCUGGUCUGUAACUGACGCUGAGGCGCGAAAGCGUGGGGAGCGACAGGA
This 755-nucleotide ribosomal RNA is filed under the name Bacillus licheniformis. RNAcentral describes it as "bacterial SSU rRNA". It matches the Rfam family "Bacterial small subunit ribosomal RNA", at positions 39 to 777 of the family's 1533-position model. Lineage: Bacteria; Bacillati; Bacillota; Bacilli; Caryophanales; Bacillaceae. The record is from RNAcentral.